CUGGUUUGCAUACAUGGUGAUCUCAAGGCUGUGUGCAAAUAUUGUGGGACACAACUUCACACCAAGUUUGGGACUACGAGUUUGAGAACCCAUAUUGUAGAGUCUUGCAAAUCAAUUGAGGAUGGUUGCAGGAAGAGUUUUCUGUUGACUACGAAAAAACAACUUCCGAAGGCCCGUUUUUGUUUGAUCAAAAAGUUUGUCGUGAUCUCAUGGUCAAGUUUUGCAUCCAUGCUGAGAUCCCCUUUCUUAAGUUUGAAGAUCCAUACCUUCAACCAUGGAUUGAAUCAAUGCAGCCAGCAUUUCAAGUCAUGGGUCGUCACACGAUUCACGAUGAUGUAG
This 339-nucleotide ribosomal RNA is filed under the name Triticum aestivum (bread wheat). Its description in RNAcentral is "partial small subunit ribosomal RNA". Lineage: Eukaryota; Viridiplantae; Streptophyta; Magnoliopsida; Poales; Poaceae. The record is from RNAcentral.